CAGAAAACUGACAGAACACUGUAAAUCAACUAUAAUGGAAAAAAUUUAAAUUAUAGUUUUAAAAAAUACACAUUCUGUUAACCACACAUGGGACAUUUACUAAGAGGCACUAUUAUCCUAAGUCAUAAAUCAAACCAUAACAAAUUUAAAAGAAUUUAAAGUAUGUUCUCAGGUAAUGAUGAAAUUAAACUACAAAUCAGUACAAGAAAGAAGAUAGCAGAAAAAUUCUCCAGAUGAUUGGAAGGAAGGAAAUAACAUAAGAGCAGGGAUCAAUGAAAUUGGACGCAGGAAAUUCUAUGGGAAAAAAAAAAAAAAAACUAUGAAAAAAAUGUAAUAGUCUUGUUAAAGGAUCAGUAAAACUGACAAACCUUGAGCAAGACUGACAAAGAAAGAAGAGAGAAGACAUGAAUUACCAAUCUCAGGAAUGAAACAAGGGACAUCAGUAUAGAUUCCACAGACUCAAAAGUAUAAUAAGCAAAUAUUAUAAACAUUCUACACACAAAUAUGACAAAUAAAAUGGACUAAUUCCUCAAGAAGAACAAACUAUUUCAAGUCACACAUUAUGAAAUAGAUUAUUUGAAUAGCCUUGAAACUUAAGAAAAUUGGAUUUGUAAUGUAAAAAUACCCAAAAACAUACAACACUACCAAGUGGGGCUUAUUUCCAGGAUGCAGUGUUGAUUUUUUUCAAAAAUUAAGCAUAAUAUUAACAAGCUAAAGAAGAAAAAUCACAUGAUUAUAUCAAUUGAUGCAAAAAAAAAGACAUUGACAAAAUUCAAUACCUAUCAUAAGAAAAACUCUCAGAGAAAUAGAAGCGAAUGGAACUUCCUUAACUCAAUAAAGAGUAUCUUCAAAAACCUAAGCUGCAUUGUGCUUAAAGGUGAAAAACUGAAUACAUCCUCCCUGAUAUAAGGAACAAGACAAGGAUGUUCACUUUCACCACUCUUAUACAAAGUGCUGCUGGAAGUUUCUCCCAAGUGUGAUAAGUAAAGGAAAGAUAUACAGAUCAGAAAGGAAGAAAUCUAACCAUUCUUUAUUAUAGAUGACACACUUGUCUACUUAGAAAAUCCCAAGAUAUCUACCAAAAAACUUCUUGAACUAAUAAGGGAGUUUAUCAAGGUCACAAGAUACAAAAUAAAUGUACAAAGUUAAUUUUAUUUUUGCAUACAAGAAAUGAACAUACAAACACUAAAAUUAAAAAUUAAAAUCACUCAAAAAAAUCAAAGUAUUGUAUAAAAUAUGUUCAAAUGCUUAUUUGCUAACAAGUUAAAAAACUGAUGAAAGAAGUCAAAGAAGACCUGAAUAAAAGGAGAGGCAUACUAUGUUCAUGGAUUGAAAGACUCACUAUAGAAAAGAUGUCAGUUUUCCCCUAAAUUUUAUACAAGGUGAAAGCAAUUCAUAUUAAAAUCCCAGCAUACUCUUUGUAGAUACAGAAAAGAGUAUUCUAAAAUUUGUAUUGAAAGCAAAGGAACUAGAAUAACUAAAAUUAUUUUGAAUAAGAAAUGCUGGGAAGAAUUAGUCUAUUGGUUUUCAAAACAUAUAUCUACAGUAAUCAAGACUGUGUGAUACUGGCAGAAGAAUAGACACAUUGAUUGAUGGAACUGAAGAAACACAGAAAUAGAUCCAACCAAAUAUGCCCAAUUGAUUUUUAACAAAGGAGUAAAAAUAAUUCACUGAAAAACAAAUGGUGCUUUUCAACAAAUGGUGCCUGAAGAAGUUGACACCCACAUGCAAAAAAGCUGAACCUCAAUCUAAAUCUCACACCUUAUACAAAAAGAAACUCAAAUUAGAUCAUCAAUUAAAUGUAAAACUAUAAAUCAAUAUAAAAAAUAGAAAAUAUUUGGGACCUAGGGCUAGACAAAAAAUUCAUAGACUUGACCUCAAAAGUAUGGUCCAUAAAAGGAAAAAAAAAUACCCUGUGAGAGGAUGAAAAAAAUAAGCAACACACUGAGAAAAAAUAUUUGCAAAAUACAUAUCCAAUAAGUACUAAUUUCUAGAUUAUAAAAGACUUCUCAAUCUCAGCAAAGGAAAAAAACCAUCCAAUUAGAAGAUGGACAAAAGACAUAAAAAGCCAUUUCCCUGAAGAGGAUAUACUGAUAGCUAGCAAAUGUGUGAAAAGAUGUUCAGCAUCAUCAGCCAUUAGAGAUGCAAAUUUAAACCAAAAUGAGGUGUUACACAUAUAUAUCAGAGAGGCUAAAAUCAAAUAUAGAGGUAACACCAAGUGCUGAAGAGAAUGUAAAGAAACUGAAUCAUGCAUACAUUUUGGUGAGAAUGUAAAAUGGUAAAGUCAUUUGGAAAACAGUUUGACACUUUCCCAAAAGGUUACAUACUACAUUAUUCUAUUGACUAACAUUAUUGAGAUGGGAAAAUUAUAGAAAUUGGGACUGGUUUACUGGGAGCCCAGUGUGAAGGAGAGAGCAAUAGUAGGAGGGAAGUGGAUAUGGCUUUAAAAGGACAACAUGAGAGAUUCUUGUGUUGGUGGAAAUAUUCUAUAUCUUUAUUGUAUCACUGUCAAUAUUGUGGUUGUGACACUGUACCAUUGUUUAAUAAGAUAUUACCAUUGGGGGAAACUUGGUGAAGGGUGCAUUGAACUUCAUACUGUUUCUUAAAACUGUAUAUGACUCUCUGAUUGCCUCAAAAUAAGGAGUUAAACUUUUUAAUAUAUUUUUUUCCUUUGGGGGCUUCUAGAUGAAUGAUUGGAAAUUCUAUGGAGUGUUAUUUCAAUGUAUGAUUAAGCAUUACUUCGUAGUAGCCUAAUAAGUUAGUUAUUUAGACUUCUUAAAACUUGAUAUUUAUUCAUUAGAACUAGAUUACUCUGGCUUUUAAUUCUGAAUUCUACUAAGAAACCUGUCUGCCAGGUAGGGUUUCACAGAGCCGUGAAGCUCUUGCUGUGCAUGUAAGCACCAUCUGGUCUUUGGAAACUCUGAGCUAUAAGGGUAGAAUACAUUGUACUGUGAUAUCUUACCUGACUAAAAUUUUCAGGUUUUUUUUUUAAUCCUAAAUUACUCUUGGUUUAGCUUCAUAGCGAUUAAUUGAGUUUGCUGGAGAUGUUUGCUUAGCUUGACAUUGCCUAGAAAUUCCUAUUUCUGUAAGCAGUAUGUGUAACCUAUAACUUUGCAAUAACUCGACUUGCACAGAUCUUUUGUAUGGUGGUUCACAUUGAGUCAUCCUCACCUGAACUGCUAAAACCAACAUAUACAUAAUGCCAAAGAAUUUGCAUAGACCCUGACCCUUCAUUGUUAUCACUGAGCUAUCUUUCCACUGGAAAGACAGAAGAGCUUGCGUGGAUGGGCUGAGAAGUCUUGUUCUGCUAACCACCCAGGGCAAAAAAAGUAUGAAGGCCUUGACCUUACACUCUCUGGCUUGACUACUGAUUUUCCUAGGUGAGUUUAAUAGCACAAAGUCCAGAUCAGGGGCGCUAGUGAAUGCAGAUAGUGUGCUUUAGAAUGAAACAAGACCCAGAUACACUGAACACAAACUGUAUAAACAGCAAUGGUAACCAUUGUCAUGAACAUGAAUGAUUCUGACUUGUAUUAAUGUCCAGGUAGAGGCUUUUCCUAUUUCAGUCCAAGGAUGCACUGUGAAAAAAAUCCGUUUUCCUUUUUCUAUAGAACAAAGUGGGCUUUGUACACUUGUUGGUGCCAUUUGUGGCAGAGAGGGAAUUUCUCAGAUUGCUCUGGAAUGAUGAAGAGCAUGUCUCUCAUCCAAGAACUGAAAUGAUACCUUCAGGAACAAGAAGAAAGACUUCAUACACAUCCUCUUCAAUUCCUACCCGAGCAGAAUGUUGGUCAACACUCCUCUUGAAGCACUUAAUGGCAUCCAAUUCCUGAUUCUAAUUAAGAUGUUACACUCAGCUCUUAACCAUCAAUAAAAUCCAGAGAAUGAGCAGUUAACAGCUUAUCAAUGAACAAUGAACAAUGAUCAUCGUAAG
Non-coding RNA from Sus scrofa (pig), 3928 nucleotides. Lineage: Eukaryota; Metazoa; Chordata; Mammalia; Artiodactyla; Suidae. The record is from RefSeq and is a predicted model, not a curated record.